AACGAACGCUGGCGGCGCGCCUAACACAUGCAAGUCGAACGCGAAAGUGUAGCAAUACAUGAGUAAAGUGGCGCACGGGUGAGUAACGCGUAGGUGAUCUCCCUUUGUGAUCGGGAUAACCAGCCGAAAGGUUGGCUAAUACCGGAUAGAGCGCAGACUCUGUAAAGGAGAAUGCGGGAAAUGAGGGCGUAGCAAUACGCUCUUGCACUGAGAUGAGCCUGCGUCUCAUUAGCUAGUUGGUAGGGUAAUGGCCUACCAAGGCUUUGAUGGGUAGCUG
RNAcentral lists this ribosomal RNA (277 nucleotides) under uncultured bacterium. RNAcentral describes it as "partial 16S ribosomal RNA". It matches the Rfam family "Bacterial small subunit ribosomal RNA", at positions 29 to 289 of the family's 1533-position model. The record is from RNAcentral.